Molecule: transfer RNA, 78 nt
Filed under: Ignavibacteria bacterium
Lineage: Bacteria; Pseudomonadati; Ignavibacteriota; Ignavibacteria
Description: tRNA-Val
Rfam family: tRNA
About the family: Transfer RNA (tRNA) molecules are approximately 80 nucleotides in length.
Source: RNAcentral
GGACGCUUAGCUCAGCUGGUUCAGAGCGCCGCCCUUACAAGGCGGAGGUCGCUGGUUCGAUCCCAGCAGCGUCCACCA